UACAGAGGGUGCAAGCGUUAAUCGGAAUUACUGGGCGUAAAGCGUGCGUAGACGGUUAUGUAAGUCGGGUGUGAAAGCCCCGGGCUCAACCUGGGAAUGCCAUUCGAGACUGCAUAGCUAGGGUGCGGAAGAGGGAAGCGGAAUUUCCGGUGUAGCGGUGGAAUGCGCAGAUAUCAGGAGGAACACCAAUGGCGAAGGCAGCUCGCUGGGACGUUACUGACGCUGAGACGCGAAAGCGUGGGGAGCAAACAGG
This 253-nucleotide ribosomal RNA is filed under the name uncultured bacterium. Its description in RNAcentral is "partial 16S ribosomal RNA". It matches the Rfam family "Bacterial small subunit ribosomal RNA", at positions 524 to 776 of the family's 1533-position model. The record is from RNAcentral.